This 242-nucleotide ribosomal RNA is filed under the name uncultured bacterium. RNAcentral describes it as "partial 16S ribosomal RNA". It matches the Rfam family "Bacterial small subunit ribosomal RNA", at positions 92 to 334 of the family's 1533-position model. The record is from RNAcentral.
CGACCGGCGCACGGGUGAGUAACGCGCAUCCAACCUGCCUUACACUCUUGGACAGCCUUCUGAAAGGGAGAUUAAUACAAGAUGUUAUCAUGAGUAAGCAUUUUCACAUGAUUAAAGGUUUACCGGUGUAAGAUGGGGAUGCGUUCCAUUAGAUAGUAGGCGGGGUAACGGCCCACCUAGUCUUCGAUGGAUAGGGGUUCUGAGAGGAAGGUCCCCCACAUUGGAACUGAGACACGGUCCAA